RNAcentral lists this ribosomal RNA (486 nucleotides) under uncultured bacterium. Its description in RNAcentral is "partial 16S ribosomal RNA". It matches the Rfam family "Bacterial small subunit ribosomal RNA", at positions 28 to 507 of the family's 1533-position model. The record is from RNAcentral.
GAUGAACGCUGGCGGCGUGCCUAAUACAUGCAAGUCGAACGCUGGAAAUCUAGCUUGCUAGCUUGAAGGAGUGGCGGACGGGUGAGUAAUACAUAAGCAACCUACCCACGAAGACUGGGAUAAUCUCUGGAAACGGGGACUAAUACCGGAUAGGUAAUCGGAAGGCAUCUUCUGAUUAUUAAAGGUUAAAAACACUGGUGGAUGGGCUUAUGGCGCAUUAGUUAGUUGGUGAGGUAACGGCCCACCAAGACGAUGAUGCGUAGCCGGCCUGAGAGGGUGAACGGCCACAUUGGGACUGAGACACGGCCCAGACUCCUACGGGAGGCAGCAGUAGGGAAGUUUCGGCAAUGGGGGAAACCCUGACCGAGCAACGCCGCGUGAGUGAUGACGGCCUUCGGGUUGUAAAGCUCUGUUGUAAGGGAAGAACGGUAGAUAGAGAAUAUCUAAAUGACGGUACCUUACCAGAAAGCCACGGCUAACUACGUG